RNAcentral lists this ribosomal RNA (460 nucleotides) under uncultured bacterium. RNAcentral's name for it is "partial 16S ribosomal RNA". It matches the Rfam family "Bacterial small subunit ribosomal RNA", at positions 338 to 795 of the family's 1533-position model. The record is from RNAcentral.
CCUACGGGAGGCAGCAGUGAGGAAUAUUGGUCAAUGGACGAGAGUCUGAACCAGCCAAGUAGCGUGAAGGAUGACUGCCCUAUGGGUUGUAAACUUCUUUUAUAAAGGAAUAAAAUGAGGCACGUGUGCCUUUUUGCAUGUACUUUAUGAAUAAGGAUCGGCUAACUCCGUUCCAGCAGCCGCGGUAAUACGGAGGAUCCGAGCGUUAUCCGGAUUUAUUGGGUUUAAAGGGAGCGUAGAUGGGUUGUUAAGUCAGUUGUGAAAGUUUGCGGCUCAACCGUAAAAUUGCAAUUGAGACUGGAAGUCUUGAGUACAGUUGAGGUAGGCGGAAUUCGUGGUGUAGCGGUGAAAUGCUUAGAUAGCACGAAGAACCCCGAUUGCGAAGGCAGCUUACUAAACUGUCACUGACAUUGAUGCUCGAAAGUGUGGGUAUCAAACAGGAUUAGAUACCCCAGUAGGC